Molecule: ribosomal RNA, 402 nt
Filed under: uncultured bacterium
Lineage: Bacteria
Also listed under: 2 other names
Description: partial 16S ribosomal RNA
Rfam family: Bacterial small subunit ribosomal RNA
Source: RNAcentral
UGGGGAAUAUUGGACAAUGGGCGCAAGCCUGAUCCAGCCAUGCCGCGUGGAUGAUGAAGGCCCUAGGGUUGUAAAGUCCUUUCGGCGGGGAAGAUAAUGACGGUACCCGCAGAAGAAGCCCCGGCUAACUUCGUGCCAGCAGCCGCGGUAAUACGAAGGGGGCUAGCGUUGCUCGGAAUCACUGGGCGUAAAGCGCACGUAGGCGGCUUUUUAAGUCAGGGGUGAAAUCCUGGAGCUCAACUCCAGAACUGCCUUUGAUACUGAGAAGCUUGAGUCCGGGAGAGGUGAGUGGAACUGCGAGUGUAGAGGUGAAAUUCGUAGAUAUUCGCAAGAACACCAGUGGCGAAGGCGGCUCACUGGCCCGGUACUGACGCUGAGGUGCGAAAGCGUGGGGAGCAAACA